Molecule: long non-coding RNA, 4830 nt
Filed under: Nicotiana tabacum (common tobacco)
Lineage: Eukaryota; Viridiplantae; Streptophyta; Magnoliopsida; Solanales; Solanaceae
Description: long non-coding RNA (NTAB_LNC000266)
Source: RNAcentral
AACCCCAUUGUCCAGCUUCUUCUUCUUCAAUUGAAAACCAGUGAAAACCACAGACCCUCCCCCAUCGAUCUUCUUCAUCAACAACCAAACCAAAAAUCCCUCACCCUUCAGCCGCAACCCAUCAGAAAGUAGAGAGAACGAGCCUGCCCCCCUACCAUCAAGAACACCCAGGUACAAACGCAUACAUAUACAAAGUUGGGAACGACCAGAUCUGAAUUAAAAAAUGAGAAGGCUGGGUUGAGUCGAGUUCGUCGAGGUUGUCGCUCAUAGUUCAAGUUUCCGUCGGCAUCUCAUGCGUAUUCUAUUUGGAAGAAAUUUAUAAUUGGAAAGGCUCAGCUACAGAGAAAACAACGGAUUCAUCGAGGUUUAGAUCAAAAAGUUCGUUUGUUUGGUUGGCUGAUUUUGAGAUCCUAUUUCGUUGUACCUGGCAGAAAAUUGUGGCAAGAAAGGUUUAUCCCUCUCUUGCUCUUAAUUUUAAUAGUUCUAUUGUGAUGCUUGUAUGUGAAAUUAUUUAUUUUAACAUAGUUGAUUAUUUUAAUUUGACCGAAUGAAUCAUUGUUGGUUUGCUACAUUGCUGGCUGAAUAUUAGCUGACUCAAAUCUAGAUAAUUGAGAAGGAGGACAAGAAUGAAUUUGCUUAAUAUGAGUAAUCAGAUGUGUGGUAUUUGGUUCUUUAACCUUGAAAAUAUUGAUAUUUAUGUUCUCAUGUGAUAAAAGAGCUUUUGAGCAAUGCACCUAAGAUAACUAGGAUUUACUGUUUCAAACUAAUAUGAUUUUACUGUAAGCGUAUCUUGUGGAUGUAGAAUUCAGCGUGGCAAGAGUGGUCUCUUGUAUUUUCUUUUUUUCCACGCUGCUGGCAUACUCAUUUCCCAGCUCGUAUUUGACUGUCUUUCUUCUCUCUUGCCUGCUUGUAAUUGUCCCACUUAUUUAACUUUCAUAGAAUUGUCCUUUUCUGGAGUUGGACUUCAAAAAAAAAAAGAAAUUGUUUAAUAUGUGAAUGAGUCUAGCUAGAAUGCCUUACCGAUAUGUAUUUCGACUGUUUCACUUUAUUUGUUUGCCUGGGAACCUACAUAUGAUCGCUGUAUUCUUUGUUUUACUAACUGGAUAAGCAAACUUCCCGGCGCGCAAUUAAAUUAUUACAACUACGGGUACGGUUCUCGUGACUUGGUUGUGAUACUUAGUUUUUUAAAUAAGAUAUAAGUAGGAGCAUUUUUAAUUUGCCUUUACAAAAUGUGAAUACAAGUCUUUUCUUUUAAAAAUAAUUUGAGGUGCGCCAUACACAAAUAAAAUCCUAUAGCCUAUGGCCCUCAUGGUUUCAAAAACAAGAAAUUUUAGACAAUUAGUUGAGGUGUGCCCUACUUAGCAAAUAUAGUUAUGGCCCUUUAGAGUUUAAUAUUGGGCUUCUUUUAAAAAUUGGAUUCGAGGUGUGCCGUGACAAACAAAAAUGACAAUUGCAUGGCUCUGGCUUAAUUAAUUUUGUUUUAAUCCUUAGACAUCGAGGCGUGCCAUUUAGCGAAUUUCCAUGGCCCUCGCGAACUUGAAAGUGUGGAGUUGCUUUAGGCACGUUAUUUUAAUAAUUUACCUUCCUAAACUCGGGUGCGCAUUUAUGUGACCCAAAUUCAAAUUUCAACGAUGCUAAAAUAUGUCGAAGACCGGUGCAUUUAUGUGACGUGAUUCAAGACAUGUUUUAACAACGUUGCAAUAUUCCUAAAAUGAUUAAAAACGGUUGAAGUUUUAAAAAUGCACAUAGGUUUAAAAUGUUUAAAAUCAGAUAAUUAAGCCAAUAAUAACAGUUGAGCGACCGUGCUAGAACCACGGAACUCGAGAAUGCCUAACAUCUUCUCCCGGGUUAACAGAAUUCUUUACUCGGAUUUCUGUGUGCGCGGACUGUAAUACAGAGCCAAUCUUUUCCUCGAUUCGGGAUUUGAACCGGUGACUUGGGACACCAUAAAAUUAUCCCAAGUGGCGACUCUGAAUUUAAUAAAUAAAUAAUCCCGUUUCGAUUGUCACUUAAAGUUGGAAAAAACUCCCCUUAUAUACUCCCUUCUACGGGGUGUAGGAAAAAAGGAGGUGUGACAAUAGGUGAGCAAGAACAUCAAAAAUGCAAUCGGGUAUAUGAUGUAAUAAGCUCGCAUCUUUAUAAGAGUCAGAUGGCCUCACCUAAGCACUACUACGAAAGACUAGCUGAGGAAAUAAGGGAUAAAGCUUUAACUUAAGCAUAGUAACUCGAAAAAGAAAUGAUCUUGUAACAACAGUCUCACUACAACAUUUUAUGCACUCCAUAAUAAAGUGGCACCUAUCGUGACUAAUGAACAGGAAGUGAAAAAUGAUAUUUGAGAUCAUACGAGUUUCAGGAAAUUCCAGUAUUCGUGGGCACUAUGAUAAACCAAGUAUCCAUGUAGCAAGUGGCAGAACGACCAGGAAAAGUAAUUACAUACAUUUAAUGACAACUGGAAGGCACAGAAGGAAACUUAUGGUACUAGCAAGUUAAAGGAAGGUUGCGAGUAGGUCGCAAUCUAUAGUAUGGUAGAGCGACUAUUUUUUGGUAGAUAGGAGUAAGGAUAAGAAAAGGUGAGUGAAAAUGUGACAAGAAUAGGUAGGGCCUCGAAAUUAAGCCCAUUAAAAUAAGAGAGCUGAUGGUUUCUAUAAGUUAUUGAAAGCUAAGUAUAGCCUGAAUGAACUCGAUGGAGUCUAAGACUAGGUGCAUUUAGAAGAGAUGGAACGCUUCCCUGGUUGUAGAAUAAGGGUGUAAUUGUGAUAGAUAAGAGGAUGACGCUUAGGCCUUUGAUUGAGUAAUGAUUUAAAGAAAAGGUAUUUCAUGAAUUGCACUAGGUUAGAAUACCCCCACGAGAUGAAUCACAUUGGAUACUAUGAAAUACGGUUAUUGAAGUAUAGUAUUGUCCCCUAGGUGGAUCAGGCAAAUAACUUCAUUUGUUCCCCGAUGAGACAUGAGCCCUAGUGACAUUGUAUUACGUAAGAGGUCUCAAGUUAUCAGUGGUAGAUUAUAGAUUAACAUUAAAGUGAAUCAACAUUAGAUGGAUGAAAAUUCCAAAGUAUGAGAGGAGAUUAGGAUGUCAUUCUCUAGAUGAACGGUAAUAAGGAAGCAUUAAAGGACUUAGAUUUAUAUAUAUAGGAUAAUCAGGGAGAGAGUAACCUGGAGUUGGGUAGCAGACCUCGGUAAUAAUAAACUGAAGUAAGAGUUAUGGUAUAGUACGACCUACCGAGAUGUAGUAAAUCCAUAAGCAUAGAUAAUCGAGGCUAUUACACCCUGAAAUAUUACGUUGAUAUUACAUCCUGCAAUACUACAUUACGAUGAUAUUAUGCUUUGCAGUAUUAAAUUACGACGAUAUUGCACCUUGUAGUAUUGUACGUUGAAUUUAUCAUAAGUUAUUUGACAUCAGUCCAAAGAAAAGAUUACUUGGAGAUUAUAAGGAUUAUGUUAUUUCAAACAAGUGAUGAGUAAAUUCAUGAAGGUGAGAGGGGAAACAAGUCAAAGAAAAUAAAUUUUCGUCCAAGUUUGGCAUGUUGGGAUAAAAUAUGGGCCGAGCAUUAAUACCCGAUAUUUAUGGACUAGUACCAUACGAGGUACCAUAUGGAUAUGAUAGUAUGAUAUAUAAAAGGGUAUUAAAAAUAAAUAGAAUCUUAAGUAAUUUGAGACAUUUCUUAAUUAUGUGAGUAAUUGGUUAAUUAUCGGGUAGCGGAAUAUUACCUAAUUAAAUAAUUAAUUUUCUAAUAAGAUUUAAAACCCCUCCCCCACCCCAUGUGGAAGCAAGCCACCACCCAAACCAAAUGACUCAUUAGUCAUGUUGGGUUAGGUGGGAACUAGUAAAAGUAUAAGCCUUGAAAUUCAAAACAAGGCUACAUAACCUUCAACAAAUUAAAGAUUCAUAUAUCCAUCAUUUGAGGGAAUAGAAAAGGGCUCUUCAUGGGACCAUUUAAAUCCAGCAAAAACAUAACAUAAAGCCAACGUUGAAAGCAAAAUUGAAGUUAACAUAGAUGGGUUCAGAUCUUUAAUAGAUCGAACAGAGAUUUUGCGAUUCUAACAGAGUACAGUGCAACCUUUUCCAAGAACAUCAUACGAAUUUUCCCAACUCCAUGUAUGUUAAGGCUAAGCCCUUCCUUCAUUUUGGCAUGAUCUCAUAAUUACAUGAGUUGGUAACGAGGCAUAAAGAAAAAUUCAUAUCCCGAAAUUUACGUAUAUUUUCCUAGUUUUGUAAGUUACAAUAUUGUCCUUAUCGAGACUUCAUAUUCCAUUAUAUAUUUCCUUCUUCCAGUCAAUAGAGCAGAGAGUCUAUAUAUACAGUAUUACAGUAUUUUCAUUACCAUCGAGCUAUAAUCGAUGGGCAGGCCCCUAUUGGGAAACCUCUGAUCAAAUGGUAAGUUAAAUACCAAGCCUACUGUAGCCAAGCGCCUAUGAGAGAGCCCAGUUGGUCGAGAUACAGAGACUAGUAUGGCCGGGCGCCUAUGAGCGAGCGUACUAUGGUAGAGCAGUUAUAUAUAUGUAUAUAUAUAUAUAUACACACUCAUACACCAAGCCUUAUAGGGCCAGACAAUUAUUUUACUUACUAUAUUGAGAGAGUUGAGUCAUUAUCAGCAUGAAAACAUAUCCUCAGAUUAUCUUUGACUUCCAGUUACUUUCAGUUAUUAUAUUAUUAGUUUAGUUUCAGCUUUCAGUAUAUUGUCUUACAUACUCGGUACAUUAUUUUGUACUGACGUCCCUUUUCUAGGGGCACUACAUUUCAUGCGUGCAGGUUCAGACAGACAUGCACGUAGACCACCUCAUUAAGCAUUGUCCGAGUUCAGCUUGAUCGGUAAGCUCAAUGCCUUUCGG